UACGAAGGGUGCUAGCGUUGUUCGGAAUUACUGGGCGUAAAGCGCGCGUAGGCGGCUUUUCAAGUCAGGGGUGAAAUCCCACAGCUUAACUGUGGAACUGCCUUUGAAACUGUAAAGCUAGAGUGUCGGAGGGGAUAGCGGAAUUGCUAAUGUAGAGGUGAAAUUCGUAGAUAUUAGCAGGAACACCGGUGGCGAAGGCGGCUAUCUGGACGACAACUGACGCUGAGGCGCGAAAGCGUGGGGAUCAAACAGG
This 253-nucleotide ribosomal RNA is filed under the name uncultured bacterium. RNAcentral's name for it is "partial 16S ribosomal RNA". It matches the Rfam family "Bacterial small subunit ribosomal RNA", at positions 524 to 776 of the family's 1533-position model. The record is from RNAcentral.